CCUACGGGGGGCUGCAGUGGGGAAUAUUGGACAAUGGGGGGAACCCUGAUCCAGCCAUGCCGCGUGUGUGAAGAAGGCCCUCGGGUUGUAAAGCACUUUCAGUGAGGAAGAACGCCUGGUGGUUAAUACCCAGCAGGAAAGACAUCACUCACAGAAGAAGCACCGGCUAACUCCGUGCCAGCAGCCGCGGUAAUACGGAGGGGGCGAGCGUUAAUCGGAAUUACUGGGCGUAAAGCGCGCGUAGGUGGCUUGAUAAGCCGGUUGUGAAAGCCCCGGGCUCAACCUGGGAACGGCAUCCGGAACUGUCAAGCUAGAGUGCAGGAGAGGAAGGUAGAAUUCCCGGUGUAGCGGUGAAAUGCGUAGAGAUCGGGAGGAAUACCAGUGGCGAAGGCGGCCUUCUGGACUGACACUGACACUGAGGUGCGAAAGCGUGGGUAGCAAACAGGAUGAGAUACCCUGGUAGUC
This 465-nucleotide ribosomal RNA is filed under the name Vreelandella stevensii. RNAcentral describes it as "partial 16S ribosomal RNA". It matches the Rfam family "Bacterial small subunit ribosomal RNA", at positions 338 to 795 of the family's 1533-position model. The record is from RNAcentral. Lineage: Bacteria; Pseudomonadati; Pseudomonadota; Gammaproteobacteria; Oceanospirillales; Halomonadaceae.